This 482-nucleotide ribosomal RNA is filed under the name uncultured bacterium. RNAcentral describes it as "partial 16S ribosomal RNA". It matches the Rfam family "Bacterial small subunit ribosomal RNA", at positions 30 to 507 of the family's 1533-position model. The record is from RNAcentral.
AUUGAACGCUGGCGGCAUGCUUUACACAUGCAAGUCGAACGGUAACAGGCCGCAAGGUGCUGACGAGUGGCGAACGGGUGAGUAAUGCAUCGGAACGUGCCCAGUCGUGGGGGAUAACUACUCGAAAGAGUAGCUAAUACCGCAUACGAUCUAUGGAUGAAAGCGGGGGUCCGUAAGGCCUCGCGCGAUUGGAGCGGCCGAUGUCAGAUUAGGUAGUUGGUGGGGUAAAGGCUCACCAAGCCAACGAUCUGUAGCUGGUCUGAGAGGACGACCAGCCACACUGGGACUGAGACACGGCCCAGACUCCUACGGGAGGCAGCAGUGGGGAAUUUUGGACAAUGGGCGCAAGCCUGAUCCAGCAAUGCCGCGUGCAGGAAGAAGGCCUUCGGGUUGUAAACUGCCUUUGUACGGAACGAAACGGCUCUGGUUAAUACCCGGGGCUAAUGACGGUACCGUAAGAAUAAGCACCGGCUAACUACGUG